CGUGGGUAUAUAAAGGAAGGAACCUACAUUUUUGGGAAGGGGGAACCCUUAGUUCUUGACUUUCUUUCAUUCUCCUUUGGUUGUUCUUACCUAAUGACGUGGUUGAGAAAUUCGAAGAGCUUUGCCGGAGCUUCUUGAUCAGGUAGGUUCGGUGAAAAAAGCCGGCCCUCUGAGUAGCAUAAGAUUGGAGGGAUUGAAAGGCCUAUAAUUGGUAGUUUGGCAUACUACCGCUGAUAUAUAGCUCCCUCUCUCUGUCUCUUCUGUUUUGCACUCCUAAUUUUGGUGGUAUUAUUGGGCCGCGAUGGGUCCUCUUACUCUGGCCGUCAAUUCGGAAAGCUUUACUUGUCCGUUGACUCCAAAGACUAAAAUGCCUGGCUUUCUGAGUUUCAUGUGUUCUAAGUUUCUGAGUUUCAUGCAUUGUGGAAGAAUUGGAUUUUUAUUUGGUGAUAUGGUUUUGCAGAUGCAUGUAGCAAGAAAUUUCAGAAUGUUACUAUGGCAAAGCGGAAAUCUUUUGCAUCUGUCAGCAUGCAGGAUGAUAAGCCAUUUGAUUUCUUACGUACUGUAUUUGGCAAAGAGAGAGCUCAACGAUCCUGAGAAUGCUAUAAUGAGCUUUUGCAGACUCUUCUAGGUGCAUUAACUGGAGUUAUAACCACUCCCCUUGAUGUGAUUAAAACUAGACUAAUGGUACAGUACAAAGGAAUUGUUGACUGUGUUCAGACUAUUGUGAGGGAAGAAGGACCUCCCGCUCUUUUGAAGGGUAUUGGACCAAGAGUGCUGUGGAUAGGGUUUGGCGGUUCAAUUUUUUUGGUGUUUUCGAGAGAACAAAGCUCUUACUUGCUCAGGGACGACCAACAGUUGGUGAAGACACGAAGCAGGACUAACUUGUAGAUAAACCAAGGGGAUCCUUUAUGUUCUCCAUUUUUAGAGUGUGAAAUGCCUUUGGCAUUAAAAUUACUUCCUGGGUGGUAGUUUGAAAAUCUUGCCAUCAGCUUUGAUAGGCUUUUAUAAUGUCUUGUUAUUUCCUAUUUUUUAUUUUUUCCGUACAAAGAACCAAAAUUGUCAUUAGCUUGUACCAGAAAGUAAAUAAUUUUAUUGCUGGUCGAACACAUUUCCAUUUACUUCAUUGUGAUAUAAA
Rosa rugosa (rugosa rose) is the source of this 1135-nucleotide long non-coding RNA. RefSeq lists it as uncharacterized. The record is from RefSeq and is a predicted model, not a curated record. NCBI's taxonomy places the organism in Eukaryota, Viridiplantae, Streptophyta, Magnoliopsida, Rosales, Rosaceae. The transcript is spliced from 8 exons.